ACGUCCCGCGAAUAUUAACACCCCGCGUCGCCCUGUUCUCGAGGUCAGUCUCGAGAGCAGAUCCACUUUCAAAACACGGCGGAAUAUCGUGAUAGACUCGCGUGAGAGCAAACCGAGGCGGAGAUCAAUGAGAUUCCAUUACAAACGGCAGCGUUAGAUGGGAAGUCGCCGUCGCCACCGAAGGGACCGCACCGCCGAAGCAAUUAGCCGCUGUUUGGAUAGGCAAUUAGAGAAUGUAAAUAGACUGCACUUCCACCACUGCUCAAAACACACCGCAACAUAAUUAAUCAUCCUUUACUCCACUGCAGAUUUUUUUUCGUGGGGAAACAUCAGAGAAAGUGUCGGGCACCCUGGAACUCAGCAGCCAAUUAUUUUGCAGUGGCGCACUUCCUGCCGAGAACUCAAGUGAGAUUCUUCCUGUUAGCGGUGGAAGCAGCUAGCGAGGGUAUCACAAACAUUUACGAGGGCGCCAGCCAAAUAAAGGUCAAUCACUCCCCGCAACCCUUGUGAGGAUAAGCGGCUAAGAAAAUGGAUGGAUGGAUGUUAAGAAUGGGAGAACCAAGAGUAGUAGUCAAGUAGUCCGAUUUUCGCUGUUCAUGGCCUGGCCCAUUCCCUGUCUCCGGGAAUCGGCGAAUGAACUCCUGCUGGAAAACUUCUGGUUCAGCCACAAGGGGGCACUCGAGCGGAAAAGUUCGUUGCCUUGCGUGAGUGAGUUGCAUUCACUGCCUGUGGGACUCUCCGCUUCUACGCUCAUCGGACCUUGCUGCAUGUCUUUUGGAUCCCGCCUAGCCUAGAAUAUCUGUGCCUCUGCCUUGUCGGACUGCUACACCCUGUAUGACCCAGUUUCCAGAAUAAACCAAAUUGAACAUUAUGCCUGUGCCUUGAAGUCCUGCAUUUUUUCGUCUGCCCCCGCACCGGAGGUACGCCUCCUUAUCUCAAUGAUGAAGUUGAAGACUAGUAACUCUGCGCUGAGCUCGACCAGUCUCAACGGGUCUGAGACCAAGACAAGACCAGAUCACUUUUGGGAUUCUAGUAAGAAACAAGGGUUUGGCUGUUUGUCUCAAUAUGCCCUGUGAUUGGCUGGCGACCAGUUCAGGGCGUACCCCGCCUCCUGCCCGUUGACAACUGAACUAACACAAUUGAGACUCCUUUGGUUCUCCGUGUUGCUAUGCAGGGGAAAUAACGCAUAAAGUCAAAUUCCUUCCUUCUUUUUUGGAAAAACCGUAUCGCUUCCCGACGAUUGUCUUUUUAACGCCGCCGCAGGUGCGGGCAAGGACACGCGGCUGCGCUGCAUCCAAUCGCUUGGCCCCGAUAAACGGCGCAAGACGGAUGAGCGCGCUUUCGUGCAGUCAGCAAAUCACUUGGGCGGAGAUUGAUGGUUCUGGCGCGUCUGCAGGCGUCGUCGUUCGGUCAUUUCUUUGCCGUACUGAAAAAAAAAAAAAAAAAAGUCAAUGUCAUAAAAUAAAAUCAUUUAAUACAUUUUGGGGUGAUGGGAAGAUAGCAGAAAUAAAAUAAACGGGGUUUCUUGCGAUAUGAGUGACUUAUGAGAUGUGAGUUGUCGUUCAGCCGUUUUUGUUUAUUUUAAUUUUGUGUUUAGAUUUUUUUUUUGGGGGGGGGGGCAGGGUCUUUCAAGUUUGACCCCACGUGCACAAUGUGGUGGCAGUAAACUCAACUCUAUUUUCUUCACAUUAAGCAAAACUUUGGCAAAUAGCGAACAUAAAAGCCAAUUUUUACAGAAUAAUUUUAAAUUAAAGCCAUUUUAUGGGAAGCAAUCACAUUGAGGGAAAAAUAUAUACAAAAUACAUCGCUUCCCCAAACACAGAUUUUGAAGAUUUUUUUCCAACUGGGAAAUGGCGCCUGAUAUCACAUUAUGUACUUUAUGUCCUGCACUGACAGUCUAAUUAAGGAGAUUAAGAUGUUUUGGGUUUUUUUUUUUUUUUUGGUGGGGGGGGGCAUCCCACCCGCCGCAGGGAUCUCAUCACAGGUGAUUGCUGUGAAAAUUCGUCUCCUUUCUUUUUGUGUUUUGCGCUCUCUGCCGCAAUGCAACAAUACUAGAAAAGACGGCGACUGUAUUACAAAAAUGUACUUUGAGGGACUUAAGUCGGUUUAAGGUCUUCAGAGUGGAUCCAGUACGCCACCUUUGUGGUCACUUACAGUCGCAUAUGUGGGUUCAAUGUUUGCAGGUCUUUUAUUUUAUAAUCGUGCCUGUGAGUGUAUCUGUCCAUAAAUACAUAG
Molecule: long non-coding RNA, 2235 nt
Organism: Syngnathoides biaculeatus (alligator pipefish)
Lineage: Eukaryota; Metazoa; Chordata; Actinopteri; Syngnathiformes; Syngnathidae
Exons: 9
Source: RefSeq, a predicted model, not a curated record